Molecule: ribosomal RNA, 559 nt
Filed under: Metapochonia suchlasporia
Lineage: Eukaryota; Fungi; Ascomycota; Sordariomycetes; Hypocreales; Clavicipitaceae
Description: SSU rRNA
Rfam family: Eukaryotic small subunit ribosomal RNA
Source: RNAcentral
ACCUGGUUGAUUCUGCCAGUAGUCAUAUGCUUGUCUCAAAGAUUAAGCCAUGCAUGUCUAAGUAUAAGCAAUUAUACAGCGAAACUGCGAAUGGCUCAUUAUAUAAGUUAUCGUUUAUUUGAUAGUACCUUACUACUUGGAUAACCGUGGUAAUUCUAGAGCUAAUACAUGCUAAAAAUCCCGACUUCGGAAGGGAUGUAUUUAUUAGAUUAAAAACCAAUGCCCUCUGGGCUCUCUGGUGAUUCAUGAUAACUUCUCGAAUCGCAUGGCCUUGCGCCGGCGAUGGUUCAUUCAAAUUUCUUCCCUAUCAACUUUCGAUGUUUGGGUAGUGGCCAAACAUGGUUGCAACGGGUAACGGAGGGUUAGGGCUCGACCCCGGAGAAGGAGCCUGAGAAACGGCUACUACAUCCAAGGAAGGCAGCAGGCGCGCAAAUUACCCAAUCCCGAUUCGGGGAGGUAGUGACAAUAAAUACUGAUACAGGGCUCUUUUGGGUCUUGUAAUUGGAAUGAGUACAAUUUAAAUCCCUUAACGAGGAACAAUUGGAGGGCAAGUCUGGUG